GGGACAGGGGAGACAUGGAGGGCGGGGGACCAGGGGAGGCUGGAGAAUCGGGACUAGGGAGGACGGCGAGGAGAUUCGAAGGACUGUGACUCUGAGAAGCCCGGAGCGAGGGGCUCGGGGAGGGAGCCGACAGGAACUCGGGAGGAGGAGGAGGAGGAGGAGGAAGCCGCCGCCCGCGCCGCCGCCCCCGCGCCGCCACGGCCCGGAAAGUAGGCCCAGCGCGGAGGGGCCCGGCCGCGGCGCCCGUAUCCGUCCGCCCGCGCUGCGCCCGCCCGGCCAGUCGCCUCCGCCCGCCCUCCGCGCCGCUCCCGGCGCACCCCGCGCCCAUCCGGGGACUCGGCGGCCGCCGCGGGCCUUACCGGAGUCGCCGCGCGCCGCGCCGUCCCGGGGCUUCGGGGGGCGGCCCCGCGGCAUCGUCGCGGCGGCCCACCCCUCACUCGCGCUCUCCCUCGGCGGGCGCGCACGCGCGGCACCGGCGGGCGGGCUGGCGGGCGGGCUGCGGCGGCGGCGGCCGGACCCAGCCCGCCGGGCUCACGGGGCGACGGCGCCCGGACGCGCGGGCAGCAGCGCUCGGACCGCGCGGGCCUCGGCGGGUUCCAUGGCCCGCGGGCCGCGGCGGGGGCGUUGGGAGCGGGCGGUGGGGGCGGGGGCGCCGCUGUGCGCAUGCGCGGCCCGACAGGCGGCGGCGUCACCUAGCUCGGCGAGCCGCCGGCAUAGCCGGCCUGCAGGCCCCUGGCCUGGUUUGCACUGUGCUUCGGAGGCUUCUCGGUGCUCCAUCCCGGACCUUGAACGCCGGUCGGGACUGCCAACCCUCUUAGUCCUCACCCCCAACUACUCAGGAGACGGAAGGGGUCGGAGGGUGGCGUGCUUGCCCUGCUCUCGCUACGUUUAUGCACUUGAAGGGAAAGUAUCCCAGCACGUCCUUCUGCCCCGGACUCCUUUUCAAGCAUCCCUGCCUAGACCUUCUCUGGAGCGACAAAAGGCCUGGGAAGGAAACCUGAACGCAGAGAUGCUCCUGGGAACAGGCCGACUUGAGUGAUGCCCCCCUAGUAGGCUCCAUUCAAGCCUUAAAGUUUACCGUUUCUGUGUGUCAUCCUGUAUGAUUUGUUGUGCCGGUAAACUGCAGCCAGAGAUUGAUUCACAGAUGCACAGCCUAAAGCAUGUUAGGAAUCCAGCAGGGUGUGUGUGGCUCACCUCUAAUCCCAAGGUUUGGAAAGCUGAGGUUGCGAAGUCUGGAAAACUGGAAUGUAAAGUCGAAGCCUACCUGUGAAAGACCCCACCAUCAGGCUUAGCAAGCUAGCUGCAGUAACGCCAUUUUGCAAGGCAUGAAAAAGUACCAGAGCUGAGUUCUCAAAAGUUACAAGAAAGUUCAGUUAAAGAUUAACAGUUAAAGAUUAAGGCUGAAUAAUACUGGGACAGGGGCCAAAUAUCGGUGGUCAAGCACCUGGGCCCCGGCUCAGGGCCAAGAACAGAUGGCUCUCAGACGUCAGUGUUAGCAGAACUAGCUUCACUGAUUUAGAAAAAUAGAGGUGCACAGUGCUCUGGCCACUCCUUAAACCUGUGUGUCUGCCAAUGUUCUGACCAGGUGUGUGCCCAUUGUUGAACCUUCAUUAGACCCUUUCCUCGUACCCCUCCCAUACCCAUUUCUUGAAAAUAGACAUUGUUUAGAACUAAAAAGUCCCACCUCAGUUUCCCCAAAUGACCGAGAAAUACCCCAAGCCUUAUUCGAACUAACCAACCAGCUCGCUUCUCGCUUCUGUAACCGCGCUUUUUGCUCCCCAGCCCCAGCCCUAUAAAAAGGGUAAAAACUCCACACUCGGCGCGCCAGUCCUCCGAUAGACUGCGUCGCCCGGGUACCCGUGUUCCCAAUAAAGCCUCUUGCUGUUUGCAUCC
Molecule: long non-coding RNA, 1893 nt
Filed under: Mus musculus (house mouse)
Lineage: Eukaryota; Metazoa; Chordata; Mammalia; Rodentia; Muridae
Description: long non-coding RNA chr18:82692283-82694176
Source: RNAcentral